UACGUAGGGUGCAAGCGUUAAUCGGAAUUACUGGGCGUAAAGCGUGCGCAGGCGGUUUUGUAAGCCGGAUGUGAAAUCCCCGGGCUUAACCUGGGAAUGGCAUUUGGGACUGCAAGGCUGGAGUGUGGCAGAGGAGACUGGAAUUCCUGGUGUAGCAGUGAAAUGCGUAGAUAUCAGGAGGAAUACCGAUGGCGAAGGCAGGUCUCUGGGCUGACACUGACGCUCAUGCACGAAAGCGUGGGGAGCAAACAGG
This 253-nucleotide ribosomal RNA is filed under the name uncultured bacterium. RNAcentral's name for it is "partial 16S ribosomal RNA". It matches the Rfam family "Bacterial small subunit ribosomal RNA", at positions 524 to 776 of the family's 1533-position model. The record is from RNAcentral.